This is a non-coding RNA of Bemisia tabaci, 73 nucleotides long. Lineage: Eukaryota; Metazoa; Arthropoda; Insecta; Hemiptera; Aleyrodidae. The record is from the annotation of a RefSeq genome assembly.
CCCUUGGUAGCUCAGUUGGCAGAGCGGUGGACUGUAGAUCCAUAGGUCGCUGGUUCAAAUCCGGCCCGAGGGA